CAGAGACAGACCCAGACAUUGGAUCAACCGAAUCCCGCAUCAGCUACUCCCCCCACACACAUACACCCCACCACCCCUCUUCCUUGCCUCAACACUUUAUAAAGUCAGAUGCUGUAUUGAGAAGCAACACAACAUUUCUCCUGACUGGAUAAACAUAAAGACUGAAUAAACUGUCUUGAUCUUCAUUCAGUUCAUUCUAGUCGACAGAUUGACAUUAAGACUUGAUGUUCAGUGAUCUGUAGAAGAGAAGCUUCACUGUUUCCACAGCCUGAGGAGCUACUGAAGAACAUCUGACUGAUAUAUUACAACAACAGGAGACUCCUCACAGGUGUGCCAUGUCCGUUCCCUAUGUGGAGGUGAGGAGUAGAGAGUUGGGUGGGUCGGUGGACAUCGGGCUGUUCCACCAGCAUCUCAGCGGGGGGUCACAUGUCAGGGGACCCGGCGUGGGCGCCAGCAUCGAGGCAUCCAAUCGGGACGGAGUCAAGUUGAUGGCCAGAGCCCAGGUUCUAACGCUGUCUCAAGGCGAAGGGGAGGGGAGGACCAGAGUGGGGCUGGCGUUUGACACGGGCGUGGGGAUUGGUCCAGAAGGGCUGGAGGCAAAGGUGUUGGGGACUGGGCUGAGGCUGGGGCCGAGACCCACUGUGUCCCUGGUGGGAAAUGAACUGGAGUGUUCUGUCAUGUAGACUUUCACUGUGUCCUAAAUUGUACACUAUGUACACUAUAGUUCCCUAUAUAUUCCCUAUAUAAUGCACUUUAUAGGGAAUAGGGUGGGGAUGAACUCUGUUCUGUCAUGAAGUCGCUAAUGUACACUGUUUCUGGAACAGCUGGCAACCUGAAGGGUAUCACUUCACUAAGGACAAUGUUGCGUGUUGGAGCAUGUUGGGGUCAAAAUGGUUGAACCUAAAUGUAUAAUAAAAUCAAGAGUUUUUACAUA
Oncorhynchus tshawytscha (Chinook salmon) is the source of this 934-nucleotide long non-coding RNA. RefSeq lists it as uncharacterized. NCBI's taxonomy places the organism in Eukaryota, Metazoa, Chordata, Actinopteri, Salmoniformes, Salmonidae. The transcript is spliced from 2 exons. The record is from RefSeq and is a predicted model, not a curated record.